UGCAAGUCGGACGAUCCCUUUGAAUUACUUGAGACUUCGGUUGAUUGUUUUUCUUUCUGGGAUAGUGGCAAACGGGUGAGUAACAUGUGGAUUACCUGCCUUGAAGUCGAGAAUAGCUCAUCGAAAGAUGGGGUAAUACUCGAUAGUCUUACAUUCUUUUAGAUUUGUAAGUAAAGUUUUAACGCUUCAAGAGGGGUCCGCAUCCUAUCAGCUUGUUGGUGAGGUAAUAGCUCACCAAGGCUAAGACGGGUAGCUGGCGUGAGAGCGCGGUCAGCCACCGUGGAACUGAGAUACGGUCCACACUCCUACGGGAGGCAGCAAUUAGGAAUCUUGCGCAAUGGGGGCAACCCUGACGCAGCGACACAGUGUGGAGGAGGAAGGUCUUCGGAUUGUAAACUCCUUUUAUGAGGGAAGAAUAGAUGACGGUACCUCAUGAAUAAGCACCUGCUAACUACGUGCCAGAGGCAUCGGUGAUGCGUAGGGUGCGAACGUUAUCCGGAUUUAUUGGGCGUAUAGAGAAGCAUAGGUGUUUCUGUAAGUCUUUAGUUAAAGACCACGGCUCAACCGUGGAGAAGCUUUGGAAACUACAGGAAUAGAGACAGGAAUGGGCGAAUGGAAUUCCCAGUGGAGCGGUGAAAUGCGUUGAUAUUGGGAGGAACAUCAGUGGCGAAGGCGAUUCGCUGGUCCUUGUCUGACACUAAGGCUCGAAAGCGUGGGUAGCGAAACGGAUUAGAUACCCGUGUAGUCCACGCCGUAAACUAUGGACGCUAGGUGUUCGGUACAACUACUCAAUCCUUCGGGAUUGAAUGGAAGUAUUGAGUACUGCAGCUAACGCGUUAAGCGUCCCGCCUGGGAAGUACGGCCGCAAGGCUAA
RNAcentral lists this ribosomal RNA (874 nucleotides) under uncultured bacterium. RNAcentral describes it as "bacterial SSU rRNA". It matches the Rfam family "Bacterial small subunit ribosomal RNA", at positions 56 to 897 of the family's 1533-position model. The record is from RNAcentral.